Molecule: ribosomal RNA, 389 nt
Filed under: uncultured bacterium
Lineage: Bacteria
Description: bacterial SSU rRNA
Rfam family: Bacterial small subunit ribosomal RNA
Source: RNAcentral
GACGAACGCUGGCGGCGUGCUUAACACAUGCAAGUCGAGCGGUAAGGCCCUUUCGGGGGUACACGAGCGGCGAACGGGUGAGUAACACGUGGGUGACCUGCCCUCAGCUCUGGGAUAAGCCUGGGAAACCGGGUCUAAUACCGGAUAUGACUCCAUGACGCAUGUUGUGGGGUGGAAAGCCUUGUGCGGCUGAGGAUGGGCCCGCGGCCUAUCAGCUUGUUGGUGGGGUGAUGGCCUACCAAGGCGACGACGGGUAGCCGGCCUGAGAGGGCGACCGGCCACACUGGGGACUGAGACAUGGCCCAGACUCCUACGGGAGGCAGCAGUGGGGAAUCUUGCGCAAUGGGCGAAAGCCUGACGCAGCGACGCCGCGUGAGGGAUGACGGCCU